Struthio camelus australis is the source of this 1750-nucleotide non-coding RNA. The record is from RefSeq and is a predicted model, not a curated record. NCBI's taxonomy places the organism in Eukaryota, Metazoa, Chordata, Aves, Struthioniformes, Struthionidae.
UUGGUCUGUAGCUGGGAGCAAGGAAGGAGGGAAAGCCAAAUUGAAGUGCCUGAACUUCUCUCCAGAUCUCUUCUCUGGAGAAGUUCCUAAUACAAGCCUCUAAAAUACACUUCAUUAAGAAACAGAAGCUACUAAAAUGUGUUUAUUAAUCUAAUGCACUAAGAUGUAUUCCAAGUUACUAAGAUGUAAUAUUUCUGUUCAGAUGAGAUCCUGCUCUAGCCUAUUGCAGCAUGGGAAAAGUGAAAUUAAGGGGGGAAAUACUGUUCAUGUGUAGAAGUUGGCAUAAUGCUUUUUCUCCCUUAAGGUCAAUUCUGCAACAGCUCUGAGAGAUCCAGGCAAGUAAUUGCAAACUGAAACAAGAACAGGAAAGGCUGAGAAAGGUCAAAGUAACUUUUGUGUUGAAACUGGAGUGCCAAGAACUGGUUAAGAGUAGCACAGCAAGCUUUUAGCUUUUUUUUCCCCUGCAGGAAUCAUGCAGUUUUGAGAAUUAGCAUGUGAGCAUACUGUGGCUGAAAUACUUACUUAGCUUUAUUUGAAAGCAGGUCGUCUUCUUAAGAUUAGGCCAUUGAGAAUGACACAGAGCUUGGAGGUAUCCCACCCUCCCAGGAUAUGUGGUGAGGAACUGAAGGUAUUAGGUCAGCUUUCCUCUUAAAGGAACCAGACUGAAAAGCUUAUUCCCUUCAAAAUACAUAGCUAUGCCACAAUUUGAGGUUUGUGCAGUGGCUCCUUUUCAUUAAAGAGCAAGGUAUAAUAGUAGUACCUAGCUAAGGUGUAAGGAUUUUUCAGUUCUUUAGCAGCAGUACUUCUCCUGGGAGGAGAUACCCUGGUUCAGGACAGGGACUAGACUGGCUUUCACUGGGUGAUAACAUGGGCUCUGGCCUCUUAACAAGACCUAGAUAUAGAGAAUAAGUAUUUUAUACUAAAUGGAGCAGGGGCAAGUAGUCUUACUAAAUUCUGAUUGGGGGUGUCUGCUCUGACACAUGUGUGAUAGUCUAGAGUGCUCAGUUAUCAUUUUUUUGCUUGCUAAAUGGCUUGAGUUUCACUCAGAGGGCAGCGAGACCAGCAUUACCAUGCCAUAAAAAAUGCGAGAAAGUAAUCUCUUGCACUGAAUUCUGAUUUCACCUCUGCCUCUCACCAGAGAGAUCUGCUCUUUGCAAGAACACAACUACACUGACGCAGUUUUCUGAGAAGAUCCCUCCAAGAAAGAAAUGAUAGAUGUUCAAGAAACUUGAUGUACAUGGUGGAAAAGAAAUAACUUCUUCCUGAAACCCUUGCUCCCAGAAAGAAUGCUUUCAUAUGUUAUCCCCCCUCAGAGGACUGGCUGACAGUGUGAGUGUACAGGAACACAGCUGCUUCCUUGAGCACAGAAACUAUUUCAGCUGUGUGCUCUAAUGAGGCUUAAUGAGAGGACUCAAUGAAAGAGAUGGCCAAGCCAGUGAGUGGACAAGAGGACUGUAUAUGAUUAGACAAGUGAAAUAAUGACACUCCUUGGCUUAACUCUCUCUGCAUGUUCUGAAACUGCUGUAACAGGACACUUGGGAAAGGAUUCUCCUAACCAUCCACACAUCACUUCCGUAUGUCCUCUUGUAGCACUCGGUGUAUUACUUACUCCAGUUAACCAUUAAAUUUUCAUUCUUGCCUUGACCAGAAGGAUGUUGGAUACUCCCCCCACCUUCCCUGUGAUUCUGAAAAGAGUAUUUGUGAUGUAAUUAUUCUACUGUUUUAUCAAUAAACUUGGUGUUCAAAACUU